GGGUCCGUGGUUAAAUGGUAUAAUUUGCGACUCCAGAUCGCAAGUCGGGAGUUCGAUUCUCUCCGGGCCCA
This 71-nucleotide transfer RNA is filed under the name Candidatus Pacearchaeota archaeon. RNAcentral's name for it is "tRNA-Trp". It matches the Rfam family "tRNA". From Rfam's summary of the family: Transfer RNA (tRNA) molecules are approximately 80 nucleotides in length. Their secondary structure includes four short double-helical elements and three loops (D, anti-codon, and T loops). Further hydrogen bonds mediate the characteristic L-shaped molecular structure. tRNAs have two regions of fundamental functional importance: the anti-codon, which is responsible for specific mRNA codon recognition, and the 3' end, to which the tRNAs corresponding amino acid is attached (by aminoacyl-tRNA synthetases). tRNAs cope with the degeneracy of the genetic code in two manners: having more than one tRNA (with a specific anti-codon) for a particular amino acid; and 'wobble' base-pairing, i.e. permitting non-standard base-pairing at the 3rd anti-codon position. Lineage: Archaea; Nanobdellati. The record is from RNAcentral.